GAUUGACAGGCAGAGCUGCAAAGAAAAAAUAUUAUUACACAAACUUGAUUUAACUUAUCUUACAAAACUCUCAAAAACUUGAUAACUCAAAUUAUUAUCUCUAAAUUGAUAUCAUUAAUAAACAUCGACUGCAGUGAUAUUUUUACCUCAAGUUAAACGCAACAUCGUUAGACCUACUGAAUAUGAUGAAAAUACUGAUAGUGACUGAUUAUAAUUAUCGCAAGAAUCGCAGGUAAAUGAGUCGAUCCGUGGAUCUCGAACGUGACGCAAGUAAAUAUUAUGGAUAUUCUUUCAUUGCGGUGAUCGUUUCUGCGGUUUCAUGCGUGAUAUCUUCAGUGCAGGUGAUGAUUCGUGACUGAGAUUAUGUUACUCGUUAAGGUCAUGUCAAUCGAGGCUGAUAUUUCGUGUAGCGAAAUGUUCAUCUGCUUCGGGAGAAAUUAAGCAAUGUUUGUGUGAUAUUUUCUGCUAUGCUCAGGUCAGUUAACACUGUACUGAACAUACUUAUUGAUUGUAUAAAUCAAGUAUAAUGUAUGAAGAUCACCAAUAUGGCAGCAUAUGAUUUUCGAAGGGGAGUGUGGGCAGAAUCAGUGAGUUGGUGAGUUGUGAUCAAUGAUUUAGCAAUAAGUGAUUGAAUCAAUGAGUGACUGAAUUGGUAAAUGACUAAAUCAAUACGUGACUGAAUUAAUUAGUGACUAAAUCAAUGAGUGACUGGAUCGAUGCGUGACUGAAUCAAUAUGUGAUUGGAUAACUAAGGAACUGAAUCAAUAUGUGACUGAAUCAAUACGCGACUGAAUCAAUGAAUGACUGAAUCAAUAUAUGACUGAAUCAAUAAGUGACUGGAUCACUAAGGGACUGAAUCAAUAAGGGAUUGAAUCAAUAUGUGACUGUAUCACUAAGGGACUAAAUCAAUACGUGACUGAAUCAAUGGGUGACUGGAUCACUAAGGGACUGAAUCAAUAAGUGAUCGAAUCAAUAAGUAACUGAAUCAAUACGUGACUGAAUCAAUGGGUGACUGGAUCACUAAGGGACUGAAUCAAUAAGUGACUGGAUCACUAAAGGACUGAACCAAUACGUGACUAGAUCACUAAAAGGUUGAACCAAUAAGUGACUGAAUCAAUACGUGACAGAAUCAGUACGCGACUGAAUCAAUAAGUGACUGGAUCACUAAGGGACUGAAUCAAUAAGUGAUUGAAUCAAUACGUGACUGAAUCAAUACGUGACUGAAUCAAUGGGUGACUGAAUCAAUACGUGACUGAAUCAAUACGUGACUGAAUCAAUACGUGACUGAAUCAAUACGUGACUGAAUCAAUACGUGACUGAAUCAAUACGUGACUGAAUCAAUACGUGACUGAAUCAAUACGUGACUGAAUCAAUACGUGACUGAAUCAAUACGUGACUGAAUCAAUACGUGACUGAAUCAAUACGUGACUGAAUCAAUACGUGACUGAAUCAAUACGUGACUGAAUCAAUACGUGACUGAAUCAAUACGUGACUGAAUCAAUACGUGACUGAAUCAAUACGUGACUGAAUCAAUACGUGACUGAAUCAAUACGUGACUGAAUCAAUGAAUGACUGAAUCAAUAUGGGACUGAAUCAAUAAGUGACUGGAUCACUAAAGGACUGAAUCAAUAAGUGACUAGAUCACUACAGGGUUGAUCCAAUAAGUGACUGGAUCACUAAGAGAUUGAAUCAAUAAGUGACUGGAUCACUAAAGGGUUGAACCAAUAAGUGACUGGAUCACUAAUGGACUGAAUCAAUAUGUGACUGAAUCAAUACGUGACUGAAUCAAUGAAUGACUGAAUCAAUAUGUGACUGAAUCAAUAAGUGACUGGAUCACUAAGAGACUGAAUCAAUAAUUGACUGAAUCAAUAUGUGACUGAAUCAAUAUGUGACUGAAUCAAUAAGUGACUGGAUCACUAAAGGAUUGAACCAAUAAGUGACUGAAUCAAUAUGUGACUGAAUCAAUAAAUGACUGAAUCACUAAAGGAUUGAACCAAUAAGUGACUGAAUCAAUAAGUGACUGGAUCACUAAGCGACUGCAUCAAUAAGUGACUGGAUCACUAAAGGGUUGAACCAAUAAGUGACUGAAUCAAUACGUGCCUGAAUCAAUAAGUAUCUCCGGAAGUCUCCGACGUCUGCGCUCGGUGCUACCGCUCCCUGGACGAUUCGACGGUACAUGUUCCGGUGUUGGCCAGGAACUAAGACUCGAACAGGAAUCACCGACAUCGCUGAACACGCUGUCUCGACCACCAUGACCGGAAAUAGUGGUGCUACCUCCACCAGGACCCGGUCCACCGACGCCUGCCGAUCGACCCCUGCUGCUCAGUCCACCGAACAAGCUAAUGUCACCCAAGGGUAGUCGUGUAGUGAGCUAAGCUACCUUUUGUCAUGCCGUUCAGAGU
This is a long non-coding RNA of Megachile rotundata (alfalfa leafcutting bee), 2402 nucleotides long. Lineage: Eukaryota; Metazoa; Arthropoda; Insecta; Hymenoptera; Megachilidae. The record is from RefSeq and is a predicted model, not a curated record.